Long non-coding RNA from Chenopodium quinoa (quinoa), 1363 nucleotides. RefSeq lists it as uncharacterized. NCBI's taxonomy places the organism in Eukaryota, Viridiplantae, Streptophyta, Magnoliopsida, Caryophyllales, Amaranthaceae. The record is from RefSeq and is a predicted model, not a curated record. The transcript has 3 exons.
UCAUGUUAGGUUUUGUUUUACGCAACCUUGCUACCAAUAGGAAGUGUAUCUUGUAGUAAAUGUACAUAAUCUAAUAAAUGCUUAGAUUUAGGAUAGAAUCAUUAGCAAGUAUGGAGUAUAAGAUACUGAAAUGUAAGCUCAACCUAGAUGCAUCUUAGGAUAGACCUCAAACAAAAUGAUGUUUAGUUUUCCUAUAGUCUACUGCUAAUAUUCAGAUGCACUGCAAACUUUGACUCAUUCCCAUUCAGAUGAACUGUUGAUGAAUUGAAGGAAGAUUAUAAAGGUCACUAAUGGAAUAUAUUUAUAUUUCACUGAAUGUACCCAUAACAAUAAUUUCUCUUUUCAAAUUUAACUUAGUGAAAUUACUGAAUGUGCCUAGAAUAGUAAUUUCUCUUUUCAAAUGAGCUGUUAAUGAAAGAGGGAAGACUAAUUUAUGAGGUUGUGGCAUUUGUAUGUCCUUUAAUGAUUUAUGCUUUCAAACCUGGGUCUCAUGUUGUUCCUUUCUCCGAGGAGGUUGGACUUUGAUGGAGGAGGAAAUGAGGAAGUCGGUGAAAGCAAUGCAGACUCUGAGGACCUGUCUUUGAUCAGAAAACAGCUUCUUCACAUAGAGAGACAACAAUCUGAUAUGAUGGUUCUCAUCCAGAGAUUUAUGGGUAAUUCUCUAAGUAGGAUUGGCUCUUUGGAGAAUAGAGUAUCUGGCAUCGAGAUAGCAUUGAAUGAGAUCUCACAUGAUUUAGUUGUGCAAAGAGGAAGAAUUGCCAACAAUGACUUAGCAGGAAGCACUUGUUGUCCUAGUACGUAAUUCCUGAGUCCGAAAUUCUGGAGAAGAACAGAAGGAAGGUCUUCCUCAUUUCCAAAGUCAUCCUAUUCAGGAAGUAUGUCUAGUAGUCUUAAAGCUGCUCCACAGAUGGAUGGUUUUAAGCACCACGAGCAGAACGAAGGCUUUUACCUGGAGCCAUGGGGAAGUGUCAAAGGCAUAGGCCAAACUGCCCAGAGAGGAAGAAAUUACAGUCCCAGAAGCUUUGAUUCAGCUUCCACUGCUGCUUGUUUUAAUUCAGUGGUUCGAGGAGCAUAGACUAUAGGUUAAUGAAGUUCUUGAAGAUCGUAGUCAAGUUGAAAUUAUUUGAAUGCUACUUUUGUUGGUGUUUAUAAUGGGUAAGCCUCCAAAUAUGCAAUUAAUUUAGCUUAGCGAGCUUGUUUUUUUGUACAUGUUAUUGAAUAAAUUGGAUUUUUAACAUUAUCAUUAUACCAGAGGGAGAAAGAUGGUGGGUGGAAGUGGGAUUAGAGACAUGAAGGAGACACAAGAGAUGAUCGAUUUUCUUUUGCUCUAUUUUUUUUUUUUUUUUUUUUUUUUUUUUUUUUU